AGCAGCCGCGGUAAUUCCAGCUCCAAUAGCGUAUAUUAAAGUUGUUGCAGUUAAAAGCUCGUAGUUGAAUUUCGGGGUCAGUAGAUUGGUCAUGCCACUGGUAUGUACUGGUCUCACUGAUUCCUCCUUCCUGAUGAGCCGUAAUGCCAUUAAUUUGGUGUUGCGAGGAAUCUGGACUGUUACUUUGAAAAAUUAGAGUGUUUAAAGCAGGCUAACGCUUGAAUACAUUAGCAUGGAAUAAUGAAAUAGGACGUUUGAUUCUAUUUUGUUGGUUUCUAGGAUCGACGUAAUGAUUAAUAGGGAUAGUUGGGGGCAUUAGUAUUCAAUUGUCAGAGGUGAAAUUCUUGGAUUUAUUGAAGACUAACUACUGCGAAAGCAUUUGCCAAGGAUGUUUUCAUUAAUCAAGAACGAAAGUUAGGGGAUCGAAGACGAUCAGAUACCGUCGUAGUCUUAACCAUAAACUAUGCCGACUAGGGAUCGGAUGAUGUUAAUUUUUUAAUGA
RNAcentral lists this ribosomal RNA (502 nucleotides) under uncultured Glomeraceae. RNAcentral's name for it is "SSU rRNA". It matches the Rfam family "Eukaryotic small subunit ribosomal RNA", at positions 569 to 1077 of the family's 1831-position model. The record is from RNAcentral. Lineage: Eukaryota; Fungi; Glomeromycota; Glomeromycetes; Glomerales; Glomeraceae.